RNAcentral lists this ribosomal RNA (600 nucleotides) under uncultured bacterium. RNAcentral's name for it is "bacterial SSU rRNA". It matches the Rfam family "Bacterial small subunit ribosomal RNA", at positions 179 to 723 of the family's 1533-position model. The record is from RNAcentral.
CAUGAAGUGGCAUCACUUUAUGAUCAAACCUCAGGGGGUUAUAGAUGGGCAUGCGUGACAUUAGCUAGUUGGUGAGGUAACGGUCACAAGGCUACGAUGUCUAGGGGGUCUGAGAGGAUGAUCCCCCAACUGGUACUGAGAUACGGGCCAGACUCCUACGGGAGGCAGCAGUCGGGAAUAUUGGGUAAUGGACGGAAGUCUGACCCAGCAUACCGGUGCAGGAAGAAGGUCCUAUGGAUUGUAAACUGCUUUAGUUUGGGAAGAAAAGAGGGUUUCGACCCUAAUUGACGUUACCAGACGAAUAAGCCACGGCUAACUACGUGCCAGCAGCCGCGGUAAUACGUAGGUGGCAAGCGUUAUCCGGAUUAUUGGGUUUAAAGGGUGCGUAGGCGGGCAAUAAAGUCAGAGGUGAAAAGCUGGUUGCUUUAACAAUCAAAUGCCUUUUGAUACACUGUUGACUGGAAUACAGGUUGAAGGUGGCAUGGAAUGGGACACUUCAACUGGGUCCACGAANGGGGUGCAACAAAUGGGCCUUCCAACNUUUUUCACCUCCCGAAGGAAAACAACACCCACAUNUUGGGGCCGACAAAGGGGACAGGG